ACGUGAAAAACACGGUCACAAGCAAUAGGCAGAUACCUCGUCCUGGUUUUGAAUUGCUGCCGUUGCGCUUCCGAGUUCGUCCUAAUUCCGAAAACAAAUUGCCACCAUCUUCCAACAGUCCUGAUCUAGCCAUCUAGGCUGAUCCAGGUAUAUCUCUAACCCUGCAAAACCUACUGAUUACUCUCCGAAGCCUUCAAUCCUUAAAAUUGCUGUCGUCUCUACUUAGAACACCUUUCACCGGUGAAGCUGGAAAAAUCGUCAGUAAUAUCCCUCCACUCUGUAGAAGCACAGAGAACUGUCGACUCUAGAGCGAUCAAAAACGAGUAUGAAGCACUUGAAUUGCAGAAGUAUCGAUGGUGGGAACACAAGGCCAAUUUAUGACGCAACCGCACUAACUCUGAGGGCAAAAUCUAUGAGUGACGAGAUGGAGUAGGAUCCGGAAAAUUGAAGAAUUUUCGGUUUGGGUCGAAUUAG
Molecule: long non-coding RNA, 474 nt
Filed under: Physcomitrium patens
Lineage: Eukaryota; Viridiplantae; Streptophyta; Bryopsida; Funariales; Funariaceae
Description: long non-coding RNA (PPAT_LNC014414)
Source: RNAcentral